GGUGCGGCGAGAGUCGUAUGCCGUGACAAAUUUGGCAAACUUUUGGGUGCUUCGGCGAUGGUUUUUGACGGCCUCACCGAUCCGGCAAGUCUGGAGGCACAAGCAUGCAGCGAAGCACUAGCCCUAGCCUGGGAUUUGAAUCUGCAGGAUCUAGUCGUUGCCUUAGAUUGUGCUGAAGUGAUUUCAAACAUCAAAUCUGCAGGUUCUCCAUCUUAUGCUCCUAUCAUUAGAGAAAUUCAAACUAGUAGCAAUAAUUUUUCUUCUGUUGAUUUCCGUUUCAAGAGUAGAGUCAAUAAUUUUAAGGCCCACUCGCUAGCUAAGGGAGCUGCGUCUCUCGCGGUAGGCCGCCAUGUGUGGCUAGCGGUUUUGCCAGAGAUUGCUUGUAUUCGUGAACUUUCAAUAAAAUCCCUAGUUACCCUAAAAAAAGCCCGACUAGCCAAGAUGGCCAAAGGCACGCGCCGCCGCCGGCGAUGGACUCGCGGACCAUAUCCUCCGCGACGUUUUCGAGCAUCUGCCGUGAUUCCAGGACCUCCUCCGCUGCGCAGCGACGUGCAAGCGGUGGCACCAGCUCCUCACGGACCCGGUCUUCCUCCGGCCCCUCGGCAUCUGGCCCGAGACGGCGCGCCGCCCCUUCGUCCUCGUUGGGGUUUUCUACCAAGAAUGGUAUCCCUCCCCCUGGCGACGCGCUUCAACUUCUGA
This 699-nucleotide ribosomal RNA is filed under the name Triticum aestivum (bread wheat). Its description in RNAcentral is "partial small subunit ribosomal RNA". Lineage: Eukaryota; Viridiplantae; Streptophyta; Magnoliopsida; Poales; Poaceae. The record is from RNAcentral.